CACGUAGGGGGCAAGCGUUGUCCGGAUUUAUUGGGCGUAAAGAGCUCGUAGGUGGUUCGGUAAGUCGGGUGUUAAACCCCCAGGCUCAACCUGGGGACGCCACUCGAUACUGCUGUGACUAGAGUCCGGUAGGGGAGCGUGGAAUUCCUGGUGUAGCGGUGAAAUGCGCAGAUAUCAGGAGGAACACCGAUGGCGAAGGCAGGUCUCUGGGCCACUACUGACGCUGAGAAGCGAAAGCAUGGGGAGCGAACAGG
This 254-nucleotide ribosomal RNA is filed under the name uncultured bacterium. RNAcentral describes it as "partial 16S ribosomal RNA". It matches the Rfam family "Bacterial small subunit ribosomal RNA", at positions 524 to 776 of the family's 1533-position model. The record is from RNAcentral.